UACGUAGGGUGCGAGCGUUGUCCGGAAUUAUUGGGCGUAAAGAGCUUGUAGGCGGUUUGUCGCGUCUGCCGUGAAAAUCCGGGGCUCAACCCCGGACUUGCGGUGGGUACGGGCAGACUAGAGUGCGGCAGGGGAGACUGGAAUUCCUGGUGUAGCGGUGGAAUGCGCAGAUAUCAGGAGGAACACCGGUGGCGAAGGCGGGUCUCUGGGCCGUUACUGACGCUGAGGAGCGAAAGCGUGGGGAGCGAACAGG
Molecule: ribosomal RNA, 253 nt
Filed under: uncultured bacterium
Lineage: Bacteria
Description: partial 16S ribosomal RNA
Rfam family: Bacterial small subunit ribosomal RNA
Source: RNAcentral